Macaca mulatta (Rhesus monkey) is the source of this 3537-nucleotide non-coding RNA. Lineage: Eukaryota; Metazoa; Chordata; Mammalia; Primates; Cercopithecidae. The record is from RefSeq and is a predicted model, not a curated record.
CAGGACCCCGCCCAGGGCGCGCUACACCGCCCCGCCCCGAGCCACACCCACAGGUCCCAGGACCCCGCCCAGCGAGCGCGCUCCGCCGCCAGGCCCCGCCCAGGGUGGGCGCCUUCUUGGCCGCAGGCUAGGUUCUCCGUGGGGCAGACCCAACGCCUCUCCGCCGUCCUCCCCCGAACUGGUGGUUACGCAGGCCGCGAGUUACCAUGAGCACGGCUGGGAUGCUGACGGGGAAAGAGGUGACGGAGAACGGGGACGGCAUGGUGCCGAGAAGCCCGCCCUCACAGCAACCGCCGAACCCGGCCUGGCCACAAUCCACGGAGGAGGGCGCCAAAUCUUCUCUCGUGAGAUCUGCGCUUCUCACGAAACCUGCGCUUCCUUCUUCUCGCGGUGAAGACUGAACAUUAGACUUCCCACGAUUGCAGAACUGUCCUUCGCGGCAGCUGUAAAAUCGCGGCAAGGCUGGAUUCAUUCUGGCGGUGGGUGCAGGCCCUAAUUCCCGUCACUGAGCAGGGAUACAGCAGGAAGCUCCACCUCUGAGCACAGAUUACCCCACAGCAAGAGCCCCUACAGAAGCCCCCACGUCAUGCUUGCCGUCUGCCUUCCAUCUUUCUCAACAAAGAAGGAGACCAGAUUUGGAAUAGUGGAACACAAUUUUUUAAAAGUUGGCAACUCCUGGAAGCCACUGUAGUGACUCAGAAUCAACAUUCUCAGGACCCCAUCCGGGAUGCCACUGUGUAUGCAGUUGUCACAUCUCCCUAGACCCCUAUCCGCUGGCAGUUUCUCAGAUUUUCCUUGUUUUCAAUGAUUGGGAUAGUUUUGAAGAGUAAUGGUCAGUCUAUCGGCAAGACUUGAGAAAAUCGCAGUGACCUUUCUGCCUUCAGCUACCUCCCUUUGUCCUGUCUCUUUGCAAUCACGUAUUUUUUUCCAAUAUGUGAUUCCAAUAAUUACAUCUUCAGUGUUGCUGAAGCAAUUUGACAAAUAGAACAAUGAGAGUCCUCCGGGGAAGAUCUUCCUCCUCUGGAUCCCCUACGCUGAGCCCGUAUGACCCUGAGUGGGUGGGUGCACACUGUGAGCCCUGAGUGGGUGCACACACGCGUCUCACACGCAAACGAGUCCAUGAAGGAAAAGCCUGGACUGAGCUCCGAGUCCUGCCUGGGAGCUGCUCGUGGCUUCCGGGGCAGGCAGGAAUCUCCAAGCCUCCUCCUGGGUGAUGGGGAGAGGCCAGUCAGCGUCUAACUGCAAAUCACGGGUGGGAACGACCACAGUUUCAGAUCCCAGAACGGGGUUUUCUUAGCACAAGCAGCGCCUAGCACAGUGCCGAAAGCCAAGUCGAGGUGAUGAGCCUCGGGCGGGGGUUAGAGGGGAGACGGUGCAGGGAACCCACAGUACCAGACGGGGCCAUGUCCCCUGAGCAAAACCUGGAAUGGAGACAGCAGCUUUGGCCUGGCGCAGCCUGUGGCUGAGCCCCGCUGGAGAGAUACGGGGCUGUGUGUCGCGGCUCUGGACGGAAAUCCUCUUUCCUCCCUUCCUGGCUCGGUCUUUCUUCCAGACGGCGCUGGGCCUGCUGCUGUGUCGUCUCACAUGAGUGGCAGUGUCUGUUCUGAGGCGUCUUCCUGUUCGUCCUUCCUGUCAGCCCUGAGCAUUCCUUUACCAUCAGCAGAUUCCAUGCUGCAUUUUUAUACACACUGUCGUGUAAAAUACACACAUUGCCCAUUUUAACAAUUUUGAAGUGCACUGUUCAGUGACAAUAAGCACAUUCACGCUGUGGUGCCGCGGACACCUCUUCCAUCUCCAGAACGGUCCACCUUCUCCCCCGGAAACGCCGCACCCGUUAAACGACAGCGCCCCCUGCCGCCCCGCAGCCCGGAAGCCCUCGCUUUACCUUCAGUCUCUGGAAACUUCACUGCUGUAGAUUCCUCGCAGACGUGAAAUCCUGCAGCGUUUGUCUUUUUGUGACUUGGCAUAAUGUUUUCCAUGUUUUUGGGUUGAAGCCAUGUGGAAGUAGGUGCCAGCAUUGCCCUGCUUUUUAAGGCUGGAUAACAUUUCACCAUCUGUGUGCCCCACACCGUGUUUACUCGUUCAUCCAGCAAUGGCUUCUGGGUUGAUUCCAGGUUUCCACUAUUCUGCGUGGUGCUGCCAGGAGCAGUGGUGCACGGAUCCCUCCUAUCUGAAUCCCAGUCUUCGUUUUUCAUUUCUGUUUGUUAGAAUAUACCCAGAAGUGGAAUCGCUGGUCAUAUGGUAAUUCUGUUUAGUUUUUUGAGGUAAUUCUGUUUAGUUUUUAGUCUCUUCUGCUAUUUUUGAGGAGUCUUCACACAGUUCUCCCCAGUGACCACACUAUAUUAUAUUCCUCUCCAUACAGUACUCCAUAGUGACCACACUAUAUUAUAUUCCUCUCCAUACAGUUAUCACAGUGACCACACUAUAUUAUAUUCCUCUCCAUACAUUUCCCUACAGUGACCGUGCUAUGUUAUAUUCCUCUCCAUACAGUUCUCCAUAGUGAACACACUAUGUUAUAUUCCUCUCCAUAUACUUCUCCACAGUGACCAACUAUAUUAUAUUCCUCUCCAUACAGUUCUCCAUAGUGAACACACUAUAUUAUAUUCCUCUCCAUACAGUUCCCCACAGUGACCAACUAUAUUAUAUUCCUCUUCACACAGUUCCCUUAGUGACUGCACUGUAUUGUGUUUCUACCAUGAAUGCUUAAUUGUCCUGAUUCCUCCACAACCCAACAAAUGCUUGUUAUCUUAUGUUUUGUCUGUAUGUUUUUAAACAUUAGCUGUCUUACUGGGUAUGAAAAUUUGUGUGUGUGUGUGUGGGUGUGUGUGUGUGAAGUAUAUUUAUAUCAUAUUUUCAUUGCUUUUUUUCCUACCCUAAUAGAUUGAAGCUCAAAUUCAAGAAUCAUCUCCAUGUGUACCUGCCAUAGACCGAAUGUGUCCCCUAAAUCCACAGUUGGAAACCUAAUGGUCAAAGUGAUGGUAUUGGGAGGUGUGGGACAUUUGGGAGGUGAUUAGGUUUUGCAGGUGGAGCCUCAUGAAUCAUCAUGAUAAGAUUAGUGCCCUUAUGAAAGGGACCCAGAGAGUACCCCGUCUCUUCUGCUAUGUGAGGACACAGGAAAAAGGCACUGUCCGGAAACCAGAAAGCGGCCCUCACCCGACAGCAGAUGCACCACUGUCUCGAUCUCGAACCUCCGGCCUCCAGAACUGGGAGAACAGGCCAUCUCGUUUAUGGAAUUUUCUUAGAGAAGCUCAAAUUCACUAAGACAGUGUUCUCACACAUUGCUUAUGCAUUAGCCCAAGGACUGGCACUUAAUGUACAUUUUGCUGAAUGACCUGACAUAAAAUGGAAGGCAAAUUUAUCCUGUGAUGACUUAGGUGUACUGAGAAUAUAAAGACCUGUAAUUCUGAUGAAAGUAGUCAAAGUAAUAUAUCUUUUACACGUGAUGAUGUAAGCAUUUAUGACAAAAAAUUUCAAGAACAUGAGAGUAGACAGAAGCAUAGUAAACUCCUAUGUGUCUAACUCCAGCUUUAGCAACUA